Non-coding RNA from Leptonychotes weddellii (Weddell seal), 4935 nucleotides. The record is from RefSeq and is a predicted model, not a curated record. NCBI's taxonomy places the organism in Eukaryota, Metazoa, Chordata, Mammalia, Carnivora, Phocidae.
GAUGUGGGCUCUUCCUGUGAGCUCAGCCUAGUCACAAAUAUUGCCGCUACAUGUGCAGAAUCAAACAAGAACAGCAUAAUACAGCGUAGCUUGCACAUCUCUUUCAUAGGGGAUAUCUUCACGACGGAGAUGUUAUCUAAAUAGGGAGGGUUUCUGUUGUGUUUUGUUUUAGUUUCAGUAACAUUCCAGUCAAUAAGGUGUAGCCACCUUAUUGACAGGACGAGUGUACCCUCCAUGCAUUAUUAAGAUCUACUUUGAUGGCACAGAAUCCUCCCCUGUACAGAAAUGCUGGUUGUAGGGACUAAUCAGACCAUUUUUGUGUGUUCUCAUCAGACUCUUUGUUUGGCUGGAACUCUGCACUCCUUACUGCUUGCAUGUUUACUAAUUUAUUAUUAAAACCCCCGUAUUUGCCUUUGUUCUUUCACAACUAACACACUGGCCUCUGAAUGCAUGAGUUUUGUGUGAACUGGUGUGUGACUUAGCAACUAAUAAAUGUAUCAGUUGUAUUAUAUUUUCAGAUCUUAAAAAUAUAACUGGAAUUACUGUACUAAAACAUUUUUUACAUUAAGUGAUAAAAAUAAGGCAGAAUAUUAAUAUGUUGUACACUUAAUAUACCAUUAUGAGCUCUUAGAAUCAUUUUAUCCCUUCUCCAUUUUAGCUUUUUAUCUAUUUGUGUAGGAAAUGUCAUUAUUGGCUUUCUAGUUGAAGAGUCUGAUUCUGUGUGCUAACAUGUGAACAGUCCAUUGCAGUUAUGACAUUAGGAAGGUAAAAUUCCAGCAUUCCAGUGUUGUGAAGGACAGAGAAUCUCCCCAUAGCUAAACCUUUGCACUAGUGGCCUGUGAAAAUAGGAAUCAGAGGGUUUGUUCUGAACCCACUUUUCAGAUAUUUGAAAAAGAUGUUAGGCAAUCACAUAAUAUUUAUGUCAUGUGUUCUCAACGUCUCAGGACUCUGUCUCCUGCCAAGUCUCCCUCUUCAUCAACUGGGUCUAUUGCCUCCAGCAGAAAAUACCCAUACCCAAUGCCUCCACUUCCUGACGAAGAGAAGAAAGUGAACCGACAAAGUGCCAGGCUAUGGGAGACCUCCAUUUAAGAUCCACUGUUUACAUGUGAUACAUCAAAACUGUUUACUUCAACUUUUAUAGAAACCCAGCCUCACGGAAUCACUGCAAAUCUAUCUGCUCUUCAGACAAUACAAAGACCCUCUGAGAUGCCCCAGAGGAGAGGAAGCCGAGUCUCACAUCUGGGUACCAUUUUCUUUUUGUCAUUGGCUUAGGAUCUAAGUGAACCCUGGAAAGAACUACUGAAAUGCUACACUAUAACAGGGGAACAAUAAACAUACUGGUAUGCUCCUGGAUAAUCCGCAUGACAGAUAUAUGUAGAAAUAUCACUAAAGUUAACUCACAUGACCCAAAUGUGGCAAGUUUCCUAAGGGACAAUAGUGGAUUCAGAACUGACAUUCUGAAGCACAUCCUAAUUGUAGACAGUAAUGCUAUGUGCAUGAAACUUCUGUUUAUUGCAAUUUCCACAUUUAAGGAAACAACAUCCCCUAAUAGAAACUAGCAUGCAGGGCUAAGGCAUCUAGGAUUUGUCUGCAGGACUUUAAAGCUUUGAGAGGCCAAUAUCCAAUAUGCUAACUCUGAACAUGUAUCUUAAUUAUUUUUUUUUUUUUACUUUUCAUAUUUAUAUCAGCAUACAAGGAGAAUUGUACAUAUGUAAACAUUUUUAAAAUAAAAGAAAGCAGCUGUUACACACAAGUAUAUUUUGCCAAAUGCCUAAAAAUAGUCACAGCCACAUCAUCAUCAUCCAUCAGAUGGUCUCUAAAGAUGAUAAGCAGGUGAGGUUGUAAAUAUAGUGGUCAAUGCAUAAAAGUGUCUCUCCAUCAUUGGUAUGCGUCCAAACCAUGUGAUAUCCCUUUAAACUGUGCACAGUCUGGAGGCAGUGUUAUUGAGUAAUUAGUUGAACCAGAGAACAAAAUGCCCAGCCUGCACAGCUGGCUGGGGCAGGGGUUGAGGGGUGAGGCUCCUCUCCUGCCCGCCUCCAGGCACUCCGAUGCUGAUGGCCACUCCCUGGGACUCCUGCAGCCUGCCCCCGUUCUCCUUCCGGGGGCGACAGUGCCUGCCGCAGCAGCUGUUAGCUUGCAGUGCCAGAGGCCUGCUGGUUUCACCCUGGAGGCCUGUGAGCCCCUCGGCAGCACAUCCUGCUGAGAUGAAGCAAGUGCACCAAAGACACGAGACCAUGGGCCACCGAUACCCUGGUAGCUUCCAACUUGCCAAUACUCCAGCCCUUUGUGGCCUAAAUUUUUGUUCUUUGACAAAACUUUUUAGCCACCCUUACCUGUAAAAUGAAUGACUUGUUUUAAUACAACCAACUUUUACACUGUUUAUUAAGGAGCUUUAUCAUCAGUGAGUCCGGCAGGUCAUUCCGCCCUGAUGUGGAAGCAAGAUGGUGGAGGGUUCUACCGGCUGGGCUGGGAAGCCUCUCCGGGCCAUUGAACGUUUGAAGAAUCCUAACACAUAAGUGUGCAGCAACUGUGAAGUUACCCCAGCAGUUGGCAGGGAAAGGAGUCUGAGGUUUUGAACUCUUAUUUUUUUUUAAUUCCUAGAAAAGUAAGAAGUCUAUGUUCAAGUCCCUUCUUUAAAGCCAAAGUUCGAUAAGCUGUUAUAAUGCAGCUCUGUCAUUCUAAAAGAAAACUUCCCUGGGGAGGCUACUCUAGUGAACUCAGAAAUUGCUGGGAAUCAGUCUGACGCUUUGAUGUGAAGAGUACUUCUGAAUUUCCUCAUUUUCUCUCCUUUUUCUUGAGAGGAAUGGAAUCUGCAGACAAGAUUUCAGAAAUAUCCUCUAAAUUGGAUCUCUCCCAGUCGUGUCCAUGGUCAAAAUCCACUUCAUCUCCAUGUGUAGUCAUCUUAGAUGCCCGAACUGAAGGGCCAUGUUAGAGGCAGUGUUUGAUCCUCUAUGUAUUUAUGUCUUCUGUAAUGGACCUCUCUUCUGAAAGUCUUUAAAAACGUUUGACAAGCAAUUUAAUCACUUGAAACUAUAAAGCAUAAAGAGCAUUUUUCAUGGCAGGAGGGGAUGUGAUCAUCGAUUCUACAAUAAAAUGAUCCAUCAGAUUAAGAUUUGGGUGAGUGUCGGGUGACCAUGCCACAUAGCUCAAGUGAGGGACAGGAGGGCAGACAGAUUUGAAAAUGUAGCAAAUAAAGUGGCUUUGACCAAGAUCACUUUCAUGUGCACUGAAUGUUUUCUGGUAUUGAGUGUAUAAAAUGCUAAUGUUAUAAGGUUUAUUUUGACUAUAAAAGAGUUUAUAGAUUUGAAUGUAAGGUACUUUGUGUAAAUAUGCUUCUUAGUUACGGUUACACAAACCCUCAUUUGAAAGAAUUCACAAAUGGUGAGCUACUUGUCCACAGAUCCCCUCACCCCCCCUUUCCUUGCUUUCUCAAUUAUUUUUACAUGAAAAUUAUUAUUCCGAGUGAAAAUUAUUGUUACAUCCCUUUUGAGAGACAUGGGUGCUUAUAGUCAUCCUCCUUGAUAUUAACGUUCAUAUGGAACUGAAUGAAAAGCAUUUGUUUUAUUUGCAGGGAGAUUAUGGUUUUAGAGUAGCUUUAAUGUUCUGGGUAUCUGUCGAAGAAUGUUUGAACAUUCUUACAGCCAUUUGCAGAAUUCUUUGACAAGUUCAUAAUCUCAAUGGGUAGUUUUGAGAAAUACUUCCAUGUGUAGUCAUGGUUGGUAUUUAGAUGUAUUAAAUCUAAAUAUUUGUGACUUUUCAUCCACCGAGGCAGGGAAAAUGGACCUAAGGCACCAAACAGAAGCACAGCAUUAUUAUUUUUUUAUUAUCUCUUUUGGAGAGGAACUUUGAGGUCACCAUUGCAGUUUGUAUUCAACUAAUAUUUAUAGCCCCCAGACAACUAUAGGACCAUUCUACUAAGCAGAGGAGAGCAGUUAUUUGGCCUUUCUGUUCCAUUGUAUGCCUUUUUCUUCUCUUUCUAAAGUUGUGUGCUUAGAGAAAACUUCAGAUUAACAACCUGCUGUCUGAGAUGUUCCGUUUGUCCAUAGACAUUGCAGAAGAGCAAACUCGGAUUUAAAGCAACAUUGAAAUCUCUAUAUUAAGAAUGCCAAAAAGGGGGUUGGGGGGAAGAGGGAGCCCUUGAAGGAACAAACGGGUCAGACUGACUGGUCUGUGUCCAGCCAACUCUUUCUUUAGUCAGGAAGUGGCAUCCUCCUCUGUAGUCUCCCAACUGGAAAGUGAUCCCCCGGUCACCUGCAAAUCUGUGGAAAGGAGUAAACUCAAACAGUGCAGCAUAGCGAGAGUUUUCAAUUUAGUGUCGUUGCUCUAUAAGAAACCCAGUGAUGUUCCUUAAAAAAAAAUUGACUAAUAAAGUAAAUGUAGGGUUAAAUUGCCAAACAUACUUUUUAGUUUGAGAUAGGUGCUUUAUGAAGUGGUACUACAGUUUCUCUCAUUUUCCCCUUGCUUUAAAAAGGCUUUUAAAAUUGUCUUCAUAUAUAAAGUCAGUCUAGUGUAGAUUUCUGAACAUAAGAUUGAUAGGGUUUCUAAAAGAAGUCGCUGAUAAAAUUAGAUCUUUUGUGCACUUCCAAAAAGGGACUAUAUAUAUUUGAAUUUCAUAACAGCCUUACAUUUCUUUUUUUUUUUUCCAUUGAUUCCCUUGCAGAUUUGCAUAAUUUAUUCCUGCCCAUUGUUCCAGAUCUCUUGUGGCUACUUUUCCUUUUGCUUUUUUAGAUUUUGUUCUUUACUUCUUAUAAUUACCUGUGGGCCAGAGGAAAUACGGUAUUUUUACUCACUUUAAGUGUUUUGAAAUCAAGCUUGUUUAUUUAUUUCAUCCAUCCUUCAUUUCCUGUUGUCAUGUAGUUCUGUUUUAACCUAUAUAUUUAGUGUUUUUAAAUAUUCCCUUGUGUUGUUCAACAUGAUAAUAAAUCCUUACCUGAA